GACGAACGCUGGCGGCGUGCUUAACACAUGCAAGUCGAACGGAAAGGCCCUGCUUUUGUGGGGUGCUCGAGUGGCGAACGGGUGAGUAACACGUGAGUAACCUGCCCUUGACUUUGGGAUAACUUCAGGAAACUGGGGCUAAUACCGGAUAAGAGCUCCUGCUGCAUGGUGGGGGUUGGAAAGUUUCGGCGGUUGGGGAUGGACUCGCGGCUUAUCAGCUUGUUUGUGGGGUAGUGGCUUACCAAGGCUUUGACGGGUAGCCGGCCUGAGAGGGUAACCGGCCACAUUGGGACUGAGAUACGGCCCAGACUCCUACGGGAGGCAGCAGUGGGGAAUAGUGCACAAUGGGCGGAAGCCUGAUGCAGCAACGCCGCGUGCGGGAUGACGGCCUUCGGGUUGUAAACCGCUUUCGCCUGUGACGAAGCGUGAGUGACGGUAAUGGGUAAAGAAGCACCGGCUAACUACGUG
Molecule: ribosomal RNA, 468 nt
Filed under: uncultured bacterium
Lineage: Bacteria
Description: partial 16S ribosomal RNA
Rfam family: Bacterial small subunit ribosomal RNA
Source: RNAcentral